This 464-nucleotide ribosomal RNA is filed under the name uncultured bacterium. RNAcentral describes it as "partial 16S ribosomal RNA". It matches the Rfam family "Bacterial small subunit ribosomal RNA", at positions 338 to 795 of the family's 1533-position model. The record is from RNAcentral.
CCUACGGGAGGCAGCAGUAGGGAAUUUUCGUCAAUGGGGGAAACCCUGAACGAGCAAUGCCGCGUGAGUGAAGAAGGUCUUCGGAUCGUAAAGCACUGUUGUAAGUGAAGAACGGCUCAUAGAGGAAAAGCUAUGGGAGUGACGGUAGCUUACCAGCAAGCCACGGCUAACUACGUGCCAGAAGCCGAGGUAAUACGUAGGUGGCAAGCGUUAUCCGGAAUGAUUGGGCGUAAAGGGUGCGUAGGUGGCGUACUAAGUCAGUAGUAAAAUGCAAUGGAUCAACCACUGUAAGCAAUGGACACUGGUAUGCUGGAGUGCAGAAGAGGGCGAUGGAAUUCCAGGUGUAGCGGUAAAAUGCGGAGAUAUAUGGAGGAACACCAGUGGCGAAGGCGGUAGCCUGGUCUGCAACUGACACUGAGGCACGAAAGCGUGGGGAGCAAAUAGGAUUAGAUACCCCGGUAGUC